AGAAUGAACGCUGGCGGCAUGCCUAACACAUGCAAGUCGAACGAGAUCCUUCGGGAUCUAGUGGCGCACGGGUGCGUAACGCGUGGGAAUCUACCCUUGGGUUCGGAAUAACAGUGAGAAAUUACUGCUAAUACCGGAUAAUGUCGCAAGACCAAAGAUUUAUUGCCCAAGGAUGAGCCCGCGUAAGAUUAGCUAGUUGGUGGGGUAAAAGCCUACCAAGGCGACGAUCUUUAGCUGGUCUGAGAGGAUGAUCAGCCACACUGGGACUGAGACACGGCCCAGACUCCUACGGGAGGCAGCAGUGGGGAAUAUUGGACAAUGGGCGAAAGCCUGAUCCAGCAAUGCCGCGUGAGUGAUGAAGGCCUUAGGGUUGUAAAGCUCUUUUACCCGGGAAGAUAAUGACUGUACCGGGAGAAUAAGCUCCGGCUAACUCCGUGCCAGCAGCCGC
Molecule: ribosomal RNA, 448 nt
Filed under: uncultured bacterium
Lineage: Bacteria
Description: SSU rRNA
Rfam family: Bacterial small subunit ribosomal RNA
Source: RNAcentral